This is a long non-coding RNA of Drosophila yakuba, 4737 nucleotides long. RefSeq lists it as uncharacterized. NCBI's taxonomy places the organism in Eukaryota, Metazoa, Arthropoda, Insecta, Diptera, Drosophilidae. The record is from RefSeq and is a predicted model, not a curated record. The transcript has 3 exons.
UAACUUCAUGUACUUCAUUUCUUUCAGUGGUAUUGAUAACAUUCCCGACUGACACUCGCCAAUUGAUAAAUCCAUUGUUUGUGCAGCAUUUAAUAAUGUAUAAAUUAUAUGGGCUCGCCGAGUAGGGGCAAUACUUCUUGGCCAGCUGCCAACUAACUUGGCCCACUGUGCUCCAUCAAUUUCGCGUGCGCCCAUAAUAUUUACAUAAAAAAACCAAUAUUCGCCAGACCAAUUUGUUAUUCAAAGUAAUAACUGCGAAUGCCCGCAAAACAUCUGCGCAGUAAGGAGGCUAUCUUAACGUGUCAUUUGUUUUAAUUGGUCAGCAGGGUGAUUGCUAAAAAAACAAUAAGCUUAUAUAAGGGCUUGAGCAUCGCGGCCCUCAGUUGUCCUAGCCUGAGUUUGUUUGCUUCUUUGCACCACGUUUAGAUGAUUUUCGGUUCAAACCAGAACAUCGAUAAGAGGGCCAAGCACAUGUCUGGCCAAGUGCGAGGGUAUUAAAUUUAUAUAAGGUGCGCGAUUGGCAAAUUACUGCUGGUAUUUAUAACGUCUUAGAGAUAUGAUAGCAAUGGAUAGGCCAGCAGCGAGUGCUUCUACACCCUCAACACAAAAGCGAAGAUUUCGGGCGAUUAAAAGAUGGGAUGUUUAUCUGUUGGAUAUCAAUUAAAAGGCUUUCCCGCCACUCGGCAUCGAUGUCGACUUGAGCUCGGGGGAGCAUUUAAUCCCAGGAAAAGUGCAAUAUUUACCCACACAUUAGCAAAGUCAACAGCGGCAGAUUGGUGGAACAAAAGGAGAACUUCACCGCCACAAAACUCUUGAAAGCGGAAAUCGUGGCGUAAAAGUCGGAAAAGUGCUUUACAGCGAAAGCCUUCUAUGGCUGAAGACCAAAUCGAUACCACAUACGAAUGUUUUGCCGGGCAGCAUAAAUCAAAAUCACUGACAAUGUCAAGAGGUCUCAACUGUGCCUGUUUUCGAGGAAUAGAAACGAAAUUUACGACUUGGCUCCGGGAUCAUAUCAAGUUCAUAUCAUAUCAAAUUAUGUCCAGAUAGCUCAGACCUCAUGUCCACUCUUCGUAUCUCAAAGUUGUUUAAUCAUUCGUCUGGGCCAGCAUUUUGUAUCCACGUUUCAAGAUUGGCAGCUUGAUUUCGGAAUGUUUCUUGAUUUUGGCAUCUAACAAUAUGCAGUGAUACACACAGCACUUUUAUUCAAAUUGAAGAAUCUGUUUGAUAGUAAGCGUUUUAAGCUAGUGUUAAGUUGUUAAGUCACAAGUAUAGCAUACUCAACUUGACCUUUGGGUAACCCUGAAGCUUUGGGAAUUCCCAUUUUGUGUGACAACUAUCAUUCACCCCGAUACCACCGAAAUUUGUGGCAUUCUUGAGGUAGCCCGAUUUAUCAAUGCCAGUCAGAGUGAUUAUGGGAAACACGUUUAUUCGCACUCUCCUAUCGCAAAUCACGUUUUUGGAAACGUUUCCAAAAGCGAAACUUUCCGCUGUUGGCCAAAACAAUGUUGAUCAAGAUAACGAUCAUCAAUCCCAGAUAUUGAGAAUAACAAAAACAAGUUAACUGACUUGGAUAUUAUGGUGGCCUUGGACGGAUUUCCAUAACGAGAAAGCCCACAAAACUCGAGCCGCCACAAAACUCUUAUCUGGUAAAUGCAAUUAGAGACCGACUUACAUACAUUUGGCUCUUGGUAUUUAUAGAGGCAAUACCAAGAAGUACGAGUAUAUGUUCUGGGCCAGGCGUAUAUCUUUCCUACACCUUUCCUUCUCGACUAUCACCCGCUGCCAGAGGCCCCAGUCCCCAGUCCCCAGUACCCAAAAGCGGCUCUGCCUCCCCAUCUAUUGACAAUUCAAUUAACGUUUUGAAAUAAUUUCCUGAUAAGCGUCGCUGUUUCGGGGCUACGCAACAAGAAGAAGGAAAUUAAACAGCACCCAAUAAUACCCCGGCAGUGGUUAACUUACCAAUAAAACAAGAACCCAAAUUGGAGAGGGGUGGUGGGGGCAGAGCCAGGUUAUCACUAUUUGAUCCACAAAUGUGUUAAUAUUAAACCACUAAGCCUAUAGUUAUAUUGUAAGCAUCAACCUCAAUAGUCAAUCCUAAUCCAUAUUGUAUUUUUUCUAACAUGAAGCCCAAACAUAUACUUUGGGUAGUCUAGGUACAUGCUCUUAACAACUAAAAUCUUGGCGGAAAUGAAGAAAAUGUAAGUCGGCCGAUAUGAUCCUUAUUACCUCAGUGGAAAUUUUUACAAACAUAAAGUGAGCGAAAUCCCCGUGCUAUCUUCUUUUCAUUGAUGAACUUCAAUGUUUAGUAAAGCAGAUUAAAUGGCUGGGAAAAACGACAAAGCAAGUUUGAUAACUUUUAACGAACCAUUUGGUUAAACCCGCCUAGAAAAACCUUUAAUAUUGCAUUAAAAAUCUGACGAGUGCUUUUGUAAUUUUUACCUGAACUGACACUAAUUAAAAAUGUAUUAAAUUGCAUUAACAACUUUAAAAGUCAAUGAAUAUGGCAUACAAGUACUGAAGGCAUUUCAAAGAGACCUGUUGAUCUCUUGUUAAUGCAAUGCGUUUAAUGGCAGAAAACUGAAUCUUUAAGAUUGGGGAUUAGAUUUUAACAAUGUUCUUGUCGUGGCUUGUUCUUGUAAUGGCUUGAUUUCGUCACUGAUAAUGGCGCUUUCCUAAGUUUGCACCCUGAUAUCUCUCCCGAUGGUCCCGAUGGCGGUGCAAGUCAACUUUUCCAUGCGCAUUUACCUCACCUGGCGCCAAUCAAAACCGACGCUAUCGAAAGCCCCCAGUUUAGCUACUAUAAAAGUGCCGCUAAUUUGGCUCUUGAUUGCUCAUUUAUUUGCUCGGCACACGUUCAUUGCCAUCGUCGGCGAUUCCCCAGUAAAUAUAUAUUAGCCCCUAGGCACUCAGCUUGCAUUAGACAUAUUAAAUUCGGACCAUCCCUCAGCUAUAAAGAAGGCUUCAAUCCUGGCCACGUCGGAGUACUUGGAGUGCAUUGAGCCAGCAAAGUCAAGGUUCGACUUCACAUUGAUUAGUUAAGGCUUUAUUUUCGGUGAAAGUUUACUAAAGACCCUAUAAGACCUACUUUAAGUAAGUAGACAAGCUUAAAAGUUAGAACGCAAAUUUGAAAGGAUAACUAUCCAAUAACAUAUAAGGUUUCUAAUUUAUUUGUUUGAUACAUAGUGUAAAAAUUGUAGAGUCCCCUUACAAUAUUCAAAUCAAAAUAUGGAGAAAUAUUAGCACUAUUUUAAGCACUUCUCUUUCGACCAUCUUCACAUCCGCCUCAAGUGCAAGUGGAAUUUUUCGCAGGUUGAUUAUUGGCAAAAUUAAUCACACCGGGUCACAAUUUGCAUAUUCGAGUUUAUGAAGGGGUUCAGACAGUGGCAGAGGCUUUCGGAAUGCCUAGGGCACGAGAAAUACCUGAGCGGUACGAUAAAAAAUAAAAAAUAAAAAAUACUCGAAACGCUGAACGAUUCAAUCAACUCGAAGUCGCUGCCUCGAGCCAACUCAUGCCAAAAUCAUUUUGUUGUUCAUUUAGAACAAAUAAGCAAAUACUUGCUGUAAAUAACACACUGUGGCCUCAUGAGAAAUUGAAUGGAGCGGCAAACGGAACUUGGCGAAGACGUCGCCCAGUUGGUUUCACGCCCAUGGAAUGCCAGGUAUUCCAGUUAUUUAUUUCGGCACAUUAACAACCCGGCAGGCAUGGGGACAUCCGACAUUCAGUCGAUACUUCAAAUUGAUUGCCAAAUAAAUUAAAAGUGUAAGCGGAACAAAAGCAACAACCACGAACGGCUGGAGAAAACGUCCCGUGCCAGGAGAAUGGUAGCCCAGACAUUUAGUUGAUGCAUCUCCUCUAGUUUUUCCCAUUCCCAUCUUAAUUAUCCAUGGGCUUCAAGUGGUUCACAGUGCCAGCGAUAAGGCUGGGGAUCCGGGUCCAAAAACAAAACCAGAGCCAGUUGUUGACUAAAUGUUUUUGGCGUCCGUUAGUGCAAGAUGUGGAAUAAGAAAAGGUUCAACACAAUCAUGACCACACUGAGAGAAAACUACAUCUUAACAGAUAUGAACAUAUCAAUGAACUGAAGGACGACAUUUCAUAUGUAAAUCUGAAAUGAAAGAUGCAAUUAAACUGGACACAUUUUCUCAGUCGAUUGCCAGGUAAUGCGUCUAAAAUGAACUUCAAACGGCGCCUCGAGAUAAAGAACAUUUUCCCCGUUCGCUCGUCUUCUCGCUUUCCAUCUUCCUUGGUUGUUCAAGAUAUGUAAAUAUAGUUCAUUGAUGAUUUUAGCUGGAAAUGCGGGUCUUGGAUGAGAUUGGUCUAUCGAUUUGGGUGAGUCACCUUCGUUGAAUCACUGGAUUUAACGAGAAAAAUGCAGAAGUGCAGCUGCCUUGCAAUUAAAAGCACCGCCCACGCCCCUUAAAUUUGCGGAUCGAUUGGGAAAGCGUGCUAUUUUGGACCCGUGCCAAGGAUGCGUACCAUAUAACAUAUAGCACCAGCUGGUUUUCCUGCAACAAUGCCACACAAAUUAGAGCCAGAGACAAUGGACGAGGAAACUGCAUUAAGGCGGCAAAUUGCGGUGACCGAAGAGGGAAAUGUUGGAAAACUCGGGGAAAGGUGAAAGAUGAAAGUGUGCCAUUGUGCGAGUGCGUGCUACUCUCAGGUAAAAGUUGGCCGAAAAGGACGAGCAUACAGGCAAACUGCGGUUGACAAUAAAUUACGAGUAAAAAUUUCAUGCCAAA